This 492-nucleotide ribosomal RNA is filed under the name uncultured bacterium. RNAcentral's name for it is "partial 16S ribosomal RNA". It matches the Rfam family "Bacterial small subunit ribosomal RNA", at positions 29 to 507 of the family's 1533-position model. The record is from RNAcentral.
AUUGAACGCUGGCGGCAUGCUUUACACAUGCAAGUCGAGCGGUAACAGGCCUUCGGGUGCUGACGAGUGGCGAACGGGUGAGUAAUGCAUCGGAACGUACCCAGGGGUGGGGGAUAACGCAGCGAAAGCUGUGCUAAUACCGCAUGUGCUCUGAGGAUGAAAGCGGGGGACCGAGCAGCAAUGUUUGGCCUCGCGCCUUUGGAGCGGCCGUUGUCGGAUUAGCUAGUUGGUGGGGUAAAGGCCUACCAAGGCGACGAUCCGUAGCUGGUCUGAGAGGACGACCAGCCACACUGGAACUGAGACACGGACCAGACUCCUACGGGAGGCAGCAGUGGGGAAUUUUGGACAAUGGGCGCAAGCCUGAUCCAGCAAUGCCGCGGGCGGGAAGAAGGCCUUCGGGUUGUAAACCGCUUUUGGCAGGAACGAAACGGUGUCCGCUAAUACCGGGCGCUAAUGACGGUACCUGCAGAAUAAGCACCGGCUAACUACGUG